Long non-coding RNA from Morus notabilis, 473 nucleotides. RefSeq lists it as uncharacterized. Lineage: Eukaryota; Viridiplantae; Streptophyta; Magnoliopsida; Rosales; Moraceae. The record is from RefSeq and is a predicted model, not a curated record. The transcript is spliced from 2 exons.
CUCAUCCCCAGGAGACAGCCAAUCUCAUCUGGUUCAGCAGGGGUUCCGAAGAAACAGACGGAGAGAGCUUUUAGGGUUUGUUCAUCGCCGUCUCACCAUGAGAGCCAAGUGGAAGAAGAAGCGCAUGAGGAGGUUGAAGAGGAAGCGCAGAAAGAUGAGGCAGAGAUCUAAGUGAGAGCUGUAGCUGUAGCGGUAGCGGUUUCGUCGCCUCGGCAAGAGCUCUUUCGCUUGGCGUGUUUGGGUCUUAUCGGUUUCUGGUCUUUGUUUUUUUUUUGUUUCCGUGUUUUUUAGGAUUAAUAUGUGGAAAAUCUAGAGCUGUUCAAGCCUGGUGUUUGUCACGUUCGCUAGUCGUUAAAAGUUGAAUUCUACUUUGUUAAGAACUCAUUUUUGCUGAUGAAUCUAUUAGAUUUUGCUUUUGCUGAUACAUUCAAUUAAGUUUUAUAUGUUAUAUUUUGGUUAAUUUUUCUGCCGUU